GCUUGCUUUUCGCUGACGACCGGCGCACGGGUGCGUAACGCGUAUACAAUCUGCCUCUUACUGGAGUAUACCCCAGAGAAAUUUGGAAUAAUCCUCCAUAAUAUCAUUUUAAGGCAUCUUUGAGUGAUUAAAGCUUCGGCGGUAAGAGAUGAGUAUGCGUCCUAUUAUCUAGAUGGUAAGGUAACGGCUUACCAUGGCAACGAUAGGUAGGGGUCCUGAGAGGGAGAUCCCCCACACUGGUACUGAGACACGGACCAGACUCCUACGGGAGGCAGCAGUGAGGAAUAUUGGGCAAUGGACGGAAGUCUGACCCAGCCAUGCCGCGUGCAGGAUGACUGCCCUAUGGGU
Molecule: ribosomal RNA, 348 nt
Filed under: Bacteroidetes bacterium TsG04s
Lineage: Bacteria; Pseudomonadati; Bacteroidota
Description: bacterial SSU rRNA
Rfam family: Bacterial small subunit ribosomal RNA
Source: RNAcentral